GGAGUUUUUGCCAGGACUUCACCCCACGCUGGCGGCUUGCUUAACGCCUGUGCCUCCCUUGAGGUUUGGCGUGCUACCUUACUCGUGGCCAACUUUUGCGUUGUGACUGGAUAACCUUCCUUCGCGUGGGGAAUAACCCAGUGAAAAUUGGGCUUUACCGUUAACAUGACGGGGGCACAUGCUCUUGUCUUUGCGGCUGCGUCGCCAACUGAGGGAUCCUUUUUGGAUUGCUUCCCCCUCAGGUAAUGGCUCACCUUUGUAUUGAUCAUUGUCCGGACUGUGUAGGUUGGCCGGCCACACUGGAACUGAGACACGGUCCAGACUCCUACGGGAGGCAGCAUGGGGAAUCUUGCCUGAGAACGAAAGUCUUAUGCAACUGCCCCCCGUGGAGGAUGAAUCUUCUCGGAGUGUAAACCCCUUUCGACCCUGACGAACGCCCGCGACGACUUGACUGCACCGGUAUAACAAGCCCCUGCUAACUACGUGCCAUGUUUCGCAGGAUAACCUAAGGCGCCUCCAUUGCUCGUAAUGACCGUCCGUAUACGGUCCAUAGGCCGUGUGGCUAGUCCGUUGGGAAAUCUCUGGGCUUAUUCCAUAGGCUGCUGCCGAUGCUGCUGUGCUCCAGUGUGAGAGAGGUUAGUGCAAUUACUGCUGUACCAAUCAAAUGCAUAGAUCUCCCUAGGAAUGUCUCAGGCAGAGCCUGCUCUCUGGAGCUCUACUGACGCGUAUGCUCCACACCUUGUCGAGCAUACAGGAUUAAUASSCYKGUAKUCSUAUCCRUAAAGCUUCAGAACUCGGUGUACACCGCGUACGGGGCUAGUGACGUAGAUACAGCGUUAAGUUACACCCGGAAGGAGUAUGGUCUCAAGCACCAUACUCCAAGGAAGUGUCGGGGGCCCCCUCCCACGGUAGCACAUAUAGUUCACUUCGAAGCAAGACGAAGAACUUCACAUGGGCUUGAACCGCACAGUACCAUCAUGAGAAAUCACGACUUCCUGCAAGGGACUGGUGGCGAGUAGUUGCAUGCAGGUUGUUAGCUUGGGCCCGGAGGUGUUGGGUUAAGUCCCGCAACGAGCGCAACCCUUACUCUUAGUUGCUACCCGCAAGGGAGAACUCUAGGAGGACUGCUCCGGACAAGAUUGAGGAAGGUGGGGAUGAGGUCAAGUCAGCAUGGCCUUUAUGUCCAGGGGUACACAUGUGUUACAUCGCGCGGUACAAAGAUUUUCGAACCCGUGAGGGGGAACUAAUCGCAAAAAAGAAUCAUCAGUUGGGAUUUCAGUCAGCAAAUUGAUUGCAUGAUGCCGGAAUCGCUAGUAAUGGCGUAUCAGAUUUCCGCCGUGAAUACGUUCCCGGGCCUUGUACACACCGCCCGUCACAUCACGAAAGUCGGUUGUAUUAGAAAUCGCUGUCCCAACUGCAAGGAGGCAGGUGCUCAAGGUAUGACUCAUGAUUGGGGUGAAGUCCUAACAAGGUAACC
RNAcentral lists this ribosomal RNA (1477 nucleotides) under uncultured soil bacterium. Its description in RNAcentral is "partial 16S ribosomal RNA". It matches the Rfam family "Bacterial small subunit ribosomal RNA". The record is from RNAcentral.